Molecule: ribosomal RNA, 484 nt
Filed under: uncultured bacterium
Lineage: Bacteria
Description: partial 16S ribosomal RNA
Rfam family: Bacterial small subunit ribosomal RNA
Source: RNAcentral
GACGAACGCUGGCGGCGUGCUUAACACAUGCAAGUCGAACGGAAAGGCCCUGCUUUUGUGGGGUGCUCGAGUGGCGAACGGGUGAGUAACACGUGAGUAACCUGCCCUUGACUUUGGGAUAACUUCAGGAAACUGGGGCUAAUACCGGAUAGGAGCUCCUGCUGCAUGGUGGGGGUUGGAAAGUUUCGGCGGUUGGGGAUGGACUCGCGGCUUAUCAGCUUGUUGGUGGGGUAGUGGCUUACCAAGGCUUUGACGGGUAGCCGGCCUGGGAGGGUGACCGGCCACAUUGGGACUGAGAUACGGCCCAGACUCCUACGGGAGGCAGCAGUGGGGAAUAUUGCACAAUGGGCGGAAGCCUGAUGCAGCAACGCCGCGUGCGGGAUGACGGCCUUCGGGUUGUAAACCGCUUUCGCCUGUGACGAAGCGUGAGUGACGGUAAUGGGUAAAGAAGCACCGGCUAACUACGUGCCAGCCGCCGCCGUAA